UACAGAGGUCCCGAGCGUUGUUCGGAUUCACUGGGCGUAAAGGGUGCGUAGGUGGCGAGGUAAGUCGGAUGUGAAAGCUCGGAGCUCAACUCCGAAAUGGCAUUGGAAACUACCUUGCUCGAGGGUUGGAGGGGGGACUGGAAUUCUCGGUGUAGCAGUGAAAUGCGUAGAUAUCGAGAGGAACACCAGUGGCGAAGGCGAGUCCCUGGACAACUCCUGACACUGAGGCACGAAAGCUAGGGGAGCAAACAGG
This 253-nucleotide ribosomal RNA is filed under the name uncultured bacterium. RNAcentral describes it as "partial 16S ribosomal RNA". It matches the Rfam family "Bacterial small subunit ribosomal RNA", at positions 524 to 776 of the family's 1533-position model. The record is from RNAcentral.